Molecule: transfer RNA, 76 nt
Filed under: Deltaproteobacteria bacterium
Lineage: Bacteria; Pseudomonadati; Myxococcota; Myxococcia
Also listed under: 1 other name
Description: tRNA-Ala
Rfam family: tRNA
About the family: Transfer RNA (tRNA) molecules are approximately 80 nucleotides in length. Their secondary structure includes four short double-helical elements and three loops (D, anti-codon, and T loops).
Source: RNAcentral
GGGGGGUUAGCUCAGCUGGGAGAGCGUCUGGUUCGCAAUCAGAAGGCCGAGGGUUCGAUCCCCUUACCCUCCACCA